AAGGCGCUCAGAAUGUGCAUCG
Molecule: microRNA, 22 nt
Filed under: Ascaris suum (pig roundworm)
Lineage: Eukaryota; Metazoa; Nematoda; Chromadorea; Rhabditida; Ascarididae
Description: asu-miR-5352-5p
Source: miRBase by way of RNAcentral